AGAGUUUGAUCAUGGCUCAGAACGAACGCUGGCGGCGUGCUUAACACAUGCAAGUCGAGUGCGCGGUUGUAGCAAUACAACUGGCGCACGGCGCACGGGUGCGUAACGCGUGGGCAAUCUGCCCUUCGAUGGGGAAUAACUCCGGGAAACCGAAGCUAAUUCCGCAUAACAUUCCCUGGACUCCGGUUCGGGGAAUCAAAGCAGUGAUGCGUCGGAGGAGGAGCCCGCGCCUGAUUAGCUAGUUGGCAGGGUAACGGCCUACCAAGGCAAUGAUCGGUAGCUGGUCUGAGAGGAUGGCCAGCCACACUGGAACUGAGACACGGUCCAGACUCCUACGGGAGGCAGCAGUGGGGAAUCUUGCGCAAUGGGCGAAAGCCUGACGCAGCGACGCCGCGUGGGGGAUGAAGCUUCUCGGAGUGUAAACCCCUUUCGACUGGGACGAAUGCCCGCAAGGGAGUGACGGUACCAGUAGAAGAAGCCCCGGCUAACUACGUGCCAGCAGCCGCGGUAAGACGUAGGGGGCCAGCGUUGUUCGGAAUUACUGGGUGUAAAGGGUUCGUAGGCGGUGUGGCAAGUCGGGAGUGAAAUUUCUGGGCUUAACCCAGAAGCUGCUUCCGAAACUGCUGUGCUCGAGUGUGGGAGAGGCGCGUGGAAUUGCAGGUGUAGCGGUGAAUGCGUAGAUAUCUGCAGGAACACCCGUGGCGAAAGCGGCGCGCUGGACCACAACUGACGCUGAGGAACGAAAGCUAGGGGAGCAAACAGGAUUAGAUACCCUGGUAGUCCUAGCCCUAAACGAUCAGGACUUGGGGUGCCGCACGUUCGUGCGUCGUCCCGGAGCUAACGCGUUAAGUCCUGCACCUGGGGAGUACGGUCGCAAGACUGAAACUCAAAGGAAUUGACGGGGGCCCGCACAAGCGGUGGAACAUGUGGUUCAAUUCGACGCUACGCGAGGAACCUUACCUGGGCUCGAAAUG
RNAcentral lists this ribosomal RNA (974 nucleotides) under uncultured bacterium. Its description in RNAcentral is "bacterial SSU rRNA". It matches the Rfam family "Bacterial small subunit ribosomal RNA", at positions 8 to 988 of the family's 1533-position model. The record is from RNAcentral.